GUACACGCUGUGACUAGCAUAUCAAUAAGCGGAGGAAAAGAAACUAACAAGGAUUCCCCUAGUAACGGCGAGUGAAGCGGGAAGAGCUCAAAUUUGAAAUCUUAAAGGGUUUCCCUUUACGAAUUGUAGUUUAAAGAAGUGUUUUCUGUUGAGGUUUUGGUAAAAGUUCUUUGGAACAGGACAUCAUAGAGGGUGAGAAUCCCGUAUUUGACCUUUACUUUCAACUUUGUGAUACACUUUCAAAGAGUCGGAUUGUUUGGGAAUGCAGUCCAAAAUGGGUGGUAAAUUUCAUCUAAAGCUAAAUAUUGGCGAGAGACCGAUAGCGAACAAGUACCGUGAGGGAAAGAUGAAAAGAACUUUGAAAAGAGAGUUAAACAGUACGUGAAAUUGUCAAAAGGGAAGCGUUUGACACCAGUGUUGUUUUUCUGAAAAUCAAUUAAAGAACUGUUUAUGCUAAGUUGUUUAGACUUUAUCAGCUAACUGUUUAGUUUUGAGCUUUUCUUUAAUGCACUUUUCAGUUAACAAGUCAACAUCAAUUUCUUUUGCUGUAAAAAAGCUUGAGGAAGGUGGCUUGAGAUUCGUCUUAAGUGUUUAUAGCCUCUUGCCUAUGCAGUCGGAGAGAUUGAGGUCUGCAGCGUAGAUCCUUCGGGGCUAAAUGCAUUUGUGCUAAGUUAUAGCAUUUUCAUAGACAACUUGUUGACUAUGAUUUGUCUUGUAGCUUACUCGCUUAUGUUAUUUUACCUACGCUUAGGAUGUGACAGCAGUAUAGACUGU
This 774-nucleotide ribosomal RNA is filed under the name uncultured Neocallimastigales. Its description in RNAcentral is "partial large subunit ribosomal RNA". It matches the Rfam family "Eukaryotic large subunit ribosomal RNA", at positions 22 to 637 of the family's 3401-position model. The record is from RNAcentral. Lineage: Eukaryota; Fungi; Neocallimastigomycota; Neocallimastigomycetes; Neocallimastigales.